Long non-coding RNA from Grus americana (Whooping crane), 679 nucleotides. RefSeq lists it as uncharacterized. NCBI's taxonomy places the organism in Eukaryota, Metazoa, Chordata, Aves, Gruiformes, Gruidae. The transcript is spliced from 3 exons. The record is from RefSeq and is a predicted model, not a curated record.
UGGGCUGUGAGUUUCAAAUUCACUUCUACACAAAGGCACUCCUACAUAAGAUCCUAGAAAGCAUUUUCUAAUUGAUAACUCUGAAAUCCAGCCAGGCGUAUGAAUCUGAGAUCUUCAAAAUUAUCAUAAUUCAUAUCUGUGUGGAUUCACAUUUACUACUAGACAUUUUAUAUUCCUCCCAACCGACAAAAAGGUUUGAAAAUCCCGUGGUCGUCUUUCUGAUGCUCUGCAUCUCCUUGCUGAAGGUGACUUGUUUGAGAAGAACCUGGUCCAUCCCGGCGGCAGCGGGGCACUGUGGAGGUCAGGGCUGGAAGGGAGCAAUGGGAUCGUCCAGGAGCCAACGUAUCCUUAGGAUUUUCUUUGUAGGAGUGUGAAGACUGCUUCUGCUCAGCACGUCACAAAAAAACAAACAAGAGCUAUAGCUGUCUCUUCCAUCAAUCUCAGCUUAUUUUUGUCAGCCCUCUGCCUGUACAGCCACAACCCCACCACCGCUUGACAGCGGACGGGGGAGCCGAUGGUUUGGUGAAGGGGAGAUGGAUGGUGAUCAGAGAGACGGAUGGUCCUCUGUACUCUCCCUUCUCCUUUGUAAACAAUUUUUGCCUUGAGAGAGCAAGCGGGCAGGGGGAAAGUGAACUUUUUUUUUGUACUUUCCAAGGCUGCUUCACAUGGAAAAAGAGAA